RNAcentral lists this ribosomal RNA (331 nucleotides) under uncultured bacterium. RNAcentral's name for it is "bacterial SSU rRNA". It matches the Rfam family "Bacterial small subunit ribosomal RNA", at positions 30 to 361 of the family's 1533-position model. The record is from RNAcentral.
AUUGAACGCUGGCGGCAUGCUUUACACAUGCAAGUCGAACGGGGUGAGGGGGCAACUCCUCAUCUAGUGGCGAACGGGUGAGUAAUGCAUCGGAACGUGUCCCGUAGUGGGGGAUAACCCGGCGAAAGCCGGACUAAUACCGCAUAUGCUCUACGGAGGAAAGUGGGGGAUCCGCAAGGACCUCACGCUAUGGGAGCGGCCGAUGUCCGAUUAGCUUGUUGGUGAGGUAAUGGCUCACCAAGGCGACGAUCGGUAGCUGGUCUGAGAGGAUGAUCAGCCACACUGGGACUGAGACACGGCCCAGACUCCUACGGGAGGCAGCAGUGGGGAA